Molecule: long non-coding RNA, 734 nt
Organism: Mobula hypostoma (lesser devil ray)
Lineage: Eukaryota; Metazoa; Chordata; Chondrichthyes; Myliobatiformes; Myliobatidae
Exons: 6
Source: RefSeq, a predicted model, not a curated record
CCACGACGAAGCCACCACAAACUGGAGGCAUCUUGCCAAACAGGCUGAGGUUGUUCAUGUUGUUGAAAGUGGCUGGGCUGCCGAGAGGAUGAAGGCCACUGAAUCCAGUCUGGACACCAUGAACGAAGAGUCAUUGACUGGCACCUCUUCACUGUACUCCAGCACCUUCGCCCAAGUAAUCUCUGUCAACGUAGAAAAGCAGUACACGAGGGACUUUGCUGUAAAAUGCAAUUACACUUGACCCCCAGGAUCACACCCCAUAAGAUCGACUGGAUUGGAAUUUUCAAGGUUGGACGGAGUACAGCUGGAGAUUACCGCACGUUUGUUUGGGCUCCUGUCCCGAAGGAGGCUGGUCAGGUAGAACGCCAGCAGCAAGUAACGUUCGAAGUCUGCUUCCUCAGAAGUGAGUGCUCCUGCAUCAAAUGAAGCUGAUAGGAAGAAUACCUCCAGUCCGAGUUUACAGACACGCCAAGGAUCCUGCAGCUCGUCUGACGAAUCUGUAUCUGUGACACAAUCAGGAGAAUGGUACCAGGAGGACAGUGUCAAAAUCAAAAUGCAUUUCCUGCCACGGGGGAUCUCUGGACAUGUGUGAUAAACAAAACAAAAUGUCCUGUGAUGAAAUGAUUAAAAGGACUCAAGCAAAACUAAGCAAAGUGUCCAGUUCCACCAAACCACAAAUCAAAACCCCUUCCUCCAUUGCUGCUGAGAAGCCCAAGGCUAAACCACUUUCUCAA